AGAGUUUGAUCCUGGCUCAGAACGAACGCUGGCGGCAGGCUUAACACAUGCAAGUCGAACGCCCCGCAAGGGGAGUGGCGGACGGGUGAGUAACGCGUGGGAACGUGCCCUGAGGUUGGGAAUAACUGCGGGAAACUGCAGCUAAUACCCGAUAAGCCCCGCAAGGGGGAAAGAUUUAUCGCCUUAGGAGCGGCCCGCGUCGGAUUAGCUAGUUGGUGGGGUAACGGCCUACCAAGGCUUCGAUCCGUAGCUGGUCUGAGAGGACGAUCAGCCACAUUGGGACUGAGACGCGGCCCAAACUCCUACGGGAGGCAGCAGUGGGGAAUCUUGCGCAAUGGGCGAAAGCCUGACGCAGCCAUGCCGCGUGAAUGAUGAAGGCCUUAGGGUUGUAAAGUUCUUUUACCCGUGACGAUGAUGACGGUAACGGGGGAAUAAGCUCCGGCUAACUUCGUGCCAGCAGCCGCGGUAAUACGAAGGGGGCUAGCGUUGUUCGGAAUUACUGGGCGUAAAGCGCGCGCAGGCGGUUCGAUAAGUUGGGGGUGAAAUCCCCGGGCUCAACCCGGGAAUGGCCCUCAAGACUGUCGAUCUAGAGGACGAGAGAGGUGAGUGGAAUUCCCAGUGUAGAGGUGAAAUUCGUAGAUAUUGGGAAGGACACCGGUGGCGAAGGCGGCUCACUGGCUCGUUUCUGACGCCUGAGGCGCGAAAGCGUGGGGAGCAAACAGGAUUAGAUACCCUGGUAGUCCACGCCGUAAACGAUGAGUGCCAGGUGUUUGGGGAGGCUUUAGCUUCUCGGCGCCGCAGCUAACGCCUUUAAGCACUCCCGUCUGGGGGAGUGCGGGCCGCAAAGGUUAAAAACGUCAAUAG
This 864-nucleotide ribosomal RNA is filed under the name uncultured bacterium. Its description in RNAcentral is "bacterial SSU rRNA". It matches the Rfam family "Bacterial small subunit ribosomal RNA", at positions 8 to 907 of the family's 1533-position model. The record is from RNAcentral.